RNAcentral lists this microRNA precursor (79 nucleotides) under Marmota monax (woodchuck). Lineage: Eukaryota; Metazoa; Chordata; Mammalia; Rodentia; Sciuridae. The record is from RNAcentral.
AUGGAGAUUAUUACAAGAUUUAAGAGCCAUAAUAACCAUCUCAUUAUUAAUGGCUCUUAAAUCUUGCAAUAAUCUCCAU